This 310-nucleotide ribosomal RNA is filed under the name Ixodes ricinus (castor bean tick). RNAcentral describes it as "partial 12S ribosomal RNA". The record is from RNAcentral. Lineage: Eukaryota; Metazoa; Arthropoda; Arachnida; Ixodida; Ixodidae.
AUUAUUUUAAGCUUAAUGUUGGUAGUAAGUAAAAUUUAUGAAAUCAUAAAAUUUUGGCGGUAUUUUAAGCUUGUUAGAGGAAUUUGCUCUAUAAUGGAUACAACGCCUACAUCUUACUUAAUUUUGUAAUUAAAGUCAGUUUGUAUACCACUAUAUUUAAUUAUAUUGAAUAAUUAUAUUUAAGAUUUUUAUAUAAAUAUAUAUUAAGUCAAGGUGCAACAAAUAAUUAUGAGUGAAGUGAAUUACAUUAAUUUUAAUGAUAUUUUGAUACUGAAAAAAAAAGUUAGGAUUUAAUAGUAAAAUAUUAAUA